Molecule: long non-coding RNA, 2780 nt
Organism: Pyrus x bretschneideri (Chinese white pear)
Lineage: Eukaryota; Viridiplantae; Streptophyta; Magnoliopsida; Rosales; Rosaceae
Exons: 10
Source: RefSeq, a predicted model, not a curated record
AUUAUUAUUUUAAUAUUUAACAAAUAAUUGCUUUUUAGUUUUUAAUAAUUUUUUAAUAGAAAGUAGGUCUCAAAUCAAGUUACGUCAGCAUUUAACAGAAAAGUUAACAGAAAAAUUGACGGAGAUAUGACGUUGUCAUAAAUUCGUAAGAUAUUCUCAAUUUAAAAAAAAUAAGAUAUAAAACUGUUGUGACCCCAAUAAUUUUGAUGUAAUUUUUUAUCCUUUAUCCAAAAUCUUAACCGGAGAAACACUUGGCUACCUUCUUCACUAUGUUAACUCUGCCGUCCAACAACCACCACCGGCGGGCCAGGAGCUUGGAGGAGAUGCUACCUCUGCCGCCCCCGUCCAGCUCGUCGAGAUCACCCAAGACGGCUUUAAUUGCAGGUGACCUCUGAGCUUUCUCAGCCAAGGAAUCGUCAGUGACUGGGUUUAGGGUUGUGGGGUUAUUGAUUUUCUGCCAUGUUCGUCUCGGACGCCUGGACACGUUGUUUGAAAGCUGAUCAGGCUGGUGAAGCAGUAUGGAGUGGGAAAAUGGGCACAGAUAGUUGAGAAGUUGGUGGGUAGGGCUGGCAAGCAGUGCAGAGAAAGAUGGCACAAUCAUUUGCAUCCUCAUAUCAAGGCAAUUUGUUCUUACAUAUCUUUGGGAUGUUAUAAAUUUUGAUGCAUGAGUAAACUAACAACUAAAAAUUGCUGCUUGGAUACAUUUUUAGAUUUGUACAUUUUAUUCUUUCUCAAUUCUGCGAGAGAGAAUAAAAUUUUACUCUCUAGUCCUUUUAUUUUGGUUUACUGUUGAAUUUUAUCACUGUCAACAAAAAACCUUUCCAUGCUCGAGAGUCCCGCAGGAAAGUAGUCAAUCUUAUGCUCAUGUUUCUGGUUUGAGUUCUCUGAUUUUUCUGGUUCUCCGUUUUGGAAAAUUGAAGCAUUUGAGUUUGAUUGAGAAACUCAUUUGUUAUAUUAUACACUUGCAUUUUAAACAUCUGUAAAUUAUUAAUCUUUUUUGGGUUUUUAUGUUUUUUAGGUUUGGGUUGUUAUGGAAUGGAUGAAUCAAAAUUCUGCUGUUAUAAUUUGUACUUGCUUUAUACACAUUGUGCAAUGUAUGGUGAAUAAUUGAUCUUCCAAUUUAUGCUGGACUUUUUGAUCCGUUCAAUUAUAUAUCCCUUACAGAAAUUUGGUCUAAUACACAUAGACAUAAUGAUGGAGGUAAACAAAAUGAUUAUAAUGGUUUUGUUCAUCCAUUCAAACUGAAGUAUAGUUAUCUAAUUAUUACAGUUUAAUAGCAUUAUCUUAUUGCUUAGUUUGUGUUGUCCAUUCUCAUAUUUGCUUAGUUUGUGUUGUCCAUUCUCUUAUUUGCUUAGUUUGGAUUACCUGGCAGAAAGAUGGGAUUCAUUUCCUUGGAGAACCUGCUGUUAUUUGCGAAAAAAUUUUCGAACAUCUUUCCAGUAGCUAUUGAAAAAGCAGGGUGGAAAGCAAGCUGCUUGGGAAUAUCCUUUCGUUGUUGCUGGUGUCAAUAUCAUGUUUAUGAUCAUGCAAAUACUUGACCUUGAAGCCAUGAUUGAAUUCUUGGGUUUUUAGCCGUCCCCAAUUUUAGUCUACCCAGAAAAGAUUAACAAGUGGAGUUUUCGCAGCAUGCAGUGGAUCAGCAUCACCACUGUUCUUCUUGCUCGAAUCCGAAAAAAAAUUUUAAACCCAAAAAAGGUUGGGUUUCCUGGCUGCUUUAUGAGUUAUUGAAGAAAUUGGAUUCAGAACUGAAGUAUGAGGUCUGCCAUUGGGCUGUGUAUUAUGUAAGUAUAAUCAUUUUUCCUACCAUUGUUUAAGACUAUAGUUCCUUUUGCAUAGUGUGGUUGGAUCAGGUUGUAUAUAUAGUGACCAUCUCUGCUUAUAAUGAGCUUCCAUUUGUUGUGCUGCAAAUGACCAUUAGCAUACCACAACCACAGAAUUUAUGCUUAGCGUGCUGACGCAAUUGAUAUACAGAUCUUUGUACAAAAUUCUCUCAUAUUGAUGGUUCAUUGAAUAGUCAAAAGUAUUACAUAAUAAACAAUCAAUAUAUAUGAGGACACCAUCUUAUCAUGCUUCUUGAAAAAUUUAGAGUGUGAUUUGAAAACUUGGAAGAAAUUUCGGUUUUGAGCAAAGCCCAUCUACUAAAAUGUCUAGAUUGAAGGAAAAAUAUGGCAAAUACUACACGUGUUGUUGAUGGUGGACGUGUGUAGGAGGAUGGAAGCCCAAGUCUUCUCUCGAAGGUUCCAGUACGCUUUUCCAUUUGUGUACAGAUCUCUUGAGCUCUCAACAUCGUCUUGCUCAGACUCUCUCGUAGCUCCUCAUUUUCUCCCUGUGCAAAUCUCAAAGACGCCUACCACAAUUGAUUCACCAGGUGGUACUCGGAGAAGUUUGUGAAGGGCCAAUGGGACAAGGAUUGCAAAAAUACAAUGCUUACCUCUCAAGAUUGUACUAAUUUCCCUUUGAAUGGAAAUUUGGGGUUUCUUCAGGGUUUUCGCUCGCCAGACAAUGAUAGGCGAAUCACCGCAAGAAGCAGCAAUUAUGCUGCAAACUGAAUCCAGGAUGACUGACCUGGACUCUUCAUGGUGGUCGCACCUCUCCUCCUCUCUGCUCCUCCUCCAAAACCCCUCUUUCAGGACCUAGGAAACAAGUAGCAAUGCAGAGGCACUGUUGGAGAGAUUGUGGACCUCUGUUUAAUAUUAAUCACUAACAAUAAAAAUGAAAAAUAUAAUUUGACCCAAAAAAUUGUAAAAUAUAAUACUAAAUUCGUAUAUACAUACUAAAUU